This 208-nucleotide long non-coding RNA is filed under the name Gossypium barbadense (sea-island cotton). Its description in RNAcentral is "long non-coding RNA (GBAR_LNC009438)". The record is from RNAcentral. Lineage: Eukaryota; Viridiplantae; Streptophyta; Magnoliopsida; Malvales; Malvaceae.
GAAAAUGCAAAUUAAACUUAAAAUCCAAUAAGGAAAUUUAGAAAACAAAAUAAAAUAACCUAAAUUAGAAAAAAAAAAAAAACUCUGACAGAUGGUGGGAGAUUAACAGAAAAGAAAUUUGCAUGUAUGAAUCUAUAGGUUUUGGUGUGCUUUUAGGACAAACUAACCAAAAAAAUUUGAAAUAGAAAGUGCUGAUAAAGCUUUGAAG